This 77-nucleotide transfer RNA is filed under the name Cordylochernes scorpioides. RNAcentral describes it as "tRNA-Thr". The stretch from base 13 to 68 matches the Rfam family "tRNA", at positions 10 to 63 of the family's 71-position model. Rfam says of the family: Transfer RNA (tRNA) molecules are approximately 80 nucleotides in length. The record is from RNAcentral. Lineage: Eukaryota; Metazoa; Arthropoda; Arachnida; Pseudoscorpiones; Chernetidae.
GCCAUUUGUUAUGCCUAGUGGACAUGGCAUCUGCCUGGUAAGCGGAACACUGUGGGUUCGAUUCCCAUCCCUGGGCA